RNAcentral lists this long non-coding RNA (939 nucleotides) under Struthio camelus australis. RNAcentral describes it as "lncRNA (ENSSCUG00000012631.1)". The record is from RNAcentral. Lineage: Eukaryota; Metazoa; Chordata; Aves; Struthioniformes; Struthionidae.
AGCCGACCACGCUGUAUUCUGUAUAUGCAGAACUCUUUACAUAAAGGUGUAUGCUGGUUUGGUGCUCUGUAAAUGCAAGACUGCUGGUGAUGAGAGAGACUGACGCUUUGCCCCAAGGCGUACGGAGCAGCCACAGCUCCAGCAGCCCUGAAAAUCAGGCCCAGUUAUCCUGGCUAAAGGGAUCCUUGUGGGAACAGCUGAGACAUCUAAGGAGCAAUGGUCAUCAGCAAGCUGUAUCAGUGAGCCGGCUGUGUGCUGGUCUUUUUAUCCAUCAUAUAUGCUCAGCACGAGCUCGUGGGACAGAAGUGGGAUCUGGAUGGUGGAUUCUUCGAGGGCUGGAGGAUCUGAUAUGGCUCUGAGGCCAAGGAGAACAACUGCAAGCGCUUAGAGCCACUGGAGAAGCCAGCGUCUGCUUCAGUCAUCCGGAGGAUGUUUGGUGAUGAGGCAUAUGGAUGCCCUGAGGACAUGACAUUGUUUGUCCAGGGCCCUCCCCAUUCCCAGCAGAACAGGCUGGUGUUUGUCACGGGGAGAAAAAAACAGCCUCUAGUUGGAAUAACUCCCGAUUUAAGGUCCUGCGUGAGGCUGAUCUGCUUUUACGGCUCUCCAGGGAAAUGACGCUGCUAACCCUUUUUUAUUGGGUGGCCUAUUUUUAAUCAGCUCAGUGAUAAAAACGCAUUGGCUGGUCAUGGCUGCCAGAGGAGUUUCCAUUUUCAGCCUCCCCAGGUGCUGUUGGAGCCCAGCGCCGAUUCCUCAGAGGGUUAAAGCGAGCGGGUCAUUGCGACGUAGCCUUUCGCAGGCACUGCCAAGGAACGUCAACUGUCCCUUUGCACCCCGCGCCUGGGGGAUAGUAAAUCUGUACACAAACAUUAGGCCUUCCUGAAAAGUCUGACAUAGCAGGGAGAAAAUAAAAGCUGGAGGGUUUUAUUAUCUUUCUCCUUA